Molecule: small RNA, 126 nt
Filed under: Marmota monax (woodchuck)
Lineage: Eukaryota; Metazoa; Chordata; Mammalia; Rodentia; Sciuridae
Source: RNAcentral
GCUGGGCAUGGUGGCACAUGCCUGAAAUUCCAACAACUUGGGAAGCUGAGGCAGGAGGAUCUCAAGUUCAAAGCCAACCUCAGCAACUUAGUGAGGCCCUAGUAACUUAGUAAGACCCUGCCUUGA